CUUACAUUAACUAGGAAAUUGCAAGAGAGAAAAGAAGCGUGUGUUAAUUUCUACCACUCACCACUGAAUUCAGGUUUCCUUGUGGUGCAUCCUUCUCGUGGCUUCAGCAGAUUUUCAUCUCAGUGGCCUGUCUGUGACUUUAGCUGCUCUGCUACGAUACCACUUCACACCUUGUGAUCAUGGACGUCAGAUAUUCUGAGGACUAUUAUAACUCAAGUAACUACAGAUAUAUUGGGGGACCGUAUUCAACCAUUCGUCCUCCUGUUUAUUAUGAUGGCCUGAUGAUCAGCAUCUCCCUUGUCGCUGGUGUGUGUGUAAGCCUGCCAGCUUUGAUUUGGGCUCUUCAUGUUCUUUACACUCUCCACAAACAAGGAGGCCAAAUUUCAACCUUCAUCAUCCUCCUCAUCAUCAAUGACUUGGGUGAGCUGCUCCUGAGUGCAAUUAUA
Molecule: long non-coding RNA, 446 nt
Organism: Neoarius graeffei (lesser salmon catfish)
Lineage: Eukaryota; Metazoa; Chordata; Actinopteri; Siluriformes; Ariidae
Exons: 3
Source: RefSeq, a predicted model, not a curated record